GGAGGGCACGUGCUGCAUUCCCUAACUGUGGGAAAACUGUAAACUAAAGAUUGAAAGCACCGACACCGAAACGAAAAAGAUAUCAAAACACCGAACAGAGAGCAAGCUGGAGACUUUGUACCACUUGCUUCAUCUGGUGGUCCUCCUCUUCUUUACGUUUCAGAACAGCUUGAACCUGAAACCACAUUUUUCCAUAUUGGUCUACAGCUUGCAGAUGGGCUUCCAUGUUAUUCAUCUGCUCCUGGACUCUCACCACCUCCUUCUGCAGCCGGGCCUGCUCCAGCUCUGCCUUCUGCUUCUCACCCUGAACGUCCAAC
This is a long non-coding RNA of Mugil cephalus (flathead mullet), 317 nucleotides long. RefSeq lists it as uncharacterized. Lineage: Eukaryota; Metazoa; Chordata; Actinopteri; Mugiliformes; Mugilidae. The transcript has 3 exons. The record is from RefSeq and is a predicted model, not a curated record.